RNAcentral lists this ribosomal RNA (2903 nucleotides) under Escherichia coli DEC3D. Its description in RNAcentral is "bacterial LSU rRNA". It matches the Rfam family "Bacterial large subunit ribosomal RNA". The record is from RNAcentral. Lineage: Bacteria; Pseudomonadati; Pseudomonadota; Gammaproteobacteria; Enterobacterales; Enterobacteriaceae.
UUAAGCGACUAAGCGUACACGGUGGAUGCCCUGGCAGUCAGAGGCGAUGAAGGACGUGCUAAUCUGCGAUAAGCGUCGGUAAGGUGAUAUGAACCGUUAUAACCGGCGAUUUCCGAAUGGGGAAACCCAGUGUGAUUCGUCACACUAUCAUUAACUGAAUCCAUAGGUUAAUGAGGCGAACCGGGGGAACUGAAACAUCUAAGUACCCCGAGGAAAAGAAAUCAACCGAGAUUCCCCCAGUAGCGGCGAGCGAACGGGGAGGAGCCCAGAGCCUGAAUCAGUGUGUGUGUUAGUGGAAGCGUCUGGAAAGGCGCGCGAUACAGGGUGACAGCCCCGUACACAAAAAUGCACAUGCUGUGAGCUCGAUGAGUAGGGCGGGACACGUGGUAUCCUGUCUGAAUAUGGGGGGACCAUCCUCCAAGGCUAAACACUCCUGACUGACCGAUAGUGAACCAGUACCGUGAGGGAAAGGCGAAAAGAACCCCGGCGAGGGGAGUGAAAAAGAACCUGAAACCGUGUACGUACAAGCAGUGGGAGCACAGAGCAAUCUGUGUGACUGCGUACCUUUUGUAUAAUGGGUCAGCGACUUAUAUUCUGUAGCAAGGUUAACCGAAUAGGGGAGCCGAAGGGAAACCGAGUCUUAACUGGGCGUUAAGUUGCAGGGUAUAGACCCGAAACCCGGUGAUCUAGCCAUGGGCAGGUUGAAGGUUGGGUAACACUAACUGGAGGACCGAACCGACUAAUGUUGAAAAAUUAGCGGAUGACUUGUGGCUGGGGGUGAAAGGCCAAUCAAACCGGGAGAUAGCUGGUUCUCCCCGAAAGCUAUUUAGGUAGCGCCUCGUGAAUUCAUCUCCGGGGGUAGAGCACUGUUUCGGCAAGGGGGUCAUCCCGACUUACCAACCCGAUGCAAACUGCGAAUACCGGAGAAUGUUAUCACGGGAGACACACGGCGGGUGCUAACGUCCGUCGUGAAGAGGGAAACAACCCAGACCGCCAGCUAAGGUCCCAAAGUCAUGGUUAAGUGGGAAACGAUGUGGGAAGGCCCAGACAGCCAGGAUGUUGGCUUAGAAGCAGCCAUCAUUUAAAGAAAGCGUAAUAGCUCACUGGUCGAGUCGGCCUGCGCGGAAGAUGUAACGGGGCUAAACCAUGCACCGAAGCUGCGGCAGCGACACUGUGUGUUGUUGGGUAGGGGAGCGUUCUGUAAGCCUGUGAAGGUGUGCUGUGAGGCAUGCUGGAGGUAUCAGAAGUGCGAAUGCUGACAUAAGUAACGAUAAAGCGGGUGAAAAGCCCGCUCGCCGGAAGACCAAGGGUUCCUGUCCAACGUUAAUCGGGGCAGGGUGAGUCGACCCCUAAGGCGAGGCCGAAAGGCGUAGUCGAUGGGAAACAGGUUAAUAUUCCUGUACUUGGUGUUACUGCGAAGGGGGGACGGAGAAGGCUAUGUUGGCCGGGCGACGGUUGUCCCGGUUUAAGCGUGUAGGCUGGUUUUCCAGGCAAAUCCGGAAAAUCAAGGCUGAGGCGUGAUGACGAGGCACUACGGUGCUGAAGCAACAAAUGCCCUGCUUCCAGGAAAAGCCUCUAAGCAUCAGGUAACAUCAAAUCGUACCCCAAACCGACACAGGUGGUCAGGUAGAGAAUACCAAGGCGCUUGAGAGAACUCGGGUGAAGGAACUAGGCAAAAUGGUGCCGUAACUUCGGGAGAAGGCACGCUGAUAUGUAGGUGAAGUCCCUCGCGGAUGGAGCUGAAAUCAGUCGAAGAUACCAGCUGGCUGCAACUGUUUAUUAAAAACACAGCACUGUGCAAACACGAAAGUGGACGUAUACGGUGUGACGCCUGCCCGGUGCCGGAAGGUUAAUUGAUGGGGUCAGCGCAAGCGAAGCUCUUGAUCGAAGCCCCGGUAAACGGCGGCCGUAACUAUAACGGUCCUAAGGUAGCGAAAUUCCUUGUCGGGUAAGUUCCGACCUGCACGAAUGGCGUAAUGAUGGCCAGGCUGUCUCCACCCGAGACUCAGUGAAAUUGAACUCGCUGUGAAGAUGCAGUGUACCCGCGGCAAGACGGAAAGACCCCGUGAACCUUUACUAUAGCUUGACACUGAACAUUGAGCCUUGAUGUGUAGGAUAGGUGGGAGGCUUUGAAGUGUGGACGCCAGUCUGCAUGGAGCCGACCUUGAAAUACCACCCUUUAAUGUUUGAUGUUCUAACGUGGACCCGUGAUCCGGGUUGCGGACAGUGUCUGGUGGGUAGUUUGACUGGGGCGGUCUCCUCCUAAAGAGUAACGGAGGAGCACGAAGGUUGGCUAAUCCUGGUCGGACAUCAGGAGGUUAGUGCAAUGGCAUAAGCCAGCUUGACUGCGAGCGUGACGGCGCGAGCAGGUGCGAAAGCAGGUCAUAGUGAUCCGGUGGUUCUGAAUGGAAGGGCCAUCGCUCAACGGAUAAAAGGUACUCCGGGGAUAACAGGCUGAUACCGCCCAAGAGUUCAUAUCGACGGCGGUGUUUGGCACCUCGAUGUCGGCUCAUCACAUCCUGGGGCUGAAGUAGGUCCCAAGGGUAUGGCUGUUCGCCAUUUAAAGUGGUACGCGAGCUGGGUUUAGAACGUCGUGAGACAGUUCGGUCCCUAUCUGCCGUGGGCGCUGGAGAACUGAGGGGGGCUGCUCCUAGUACGAGAGGACCGGAGUGGACGCAUCACUGGUGUUCGGGUUGUCAUGCCAAUGGCACUGCCCGGUAGCUAAAUGCGGAAGAGAUAAGUGCUGAAAGCAUCUAAGCACGAAACUUGCCCCGAGAUGAGUUCUCCCUGACCCUUUAAGGGUCCUGAAGGAACGUUGAAGACGACGACGUUGAUAGGCCGGGUGUGUAAGCGCAGCGAUGCGUUGAGCUAACCGGUACUAAUGAACCGUGAGGCUUAACCUU